This is a non-coding RNA of Kockovaella imperatae, 94 nucleotides long. NCBI's taxonomy places the organism in Eukaryota, Fungi, Basidiomycota, Tremellomycetes, Tremellales, Cuniculitremaceae. The record is from the annotation of a RefSeq genome assembly.
GGAGGUAUCGGAUAGUGGCUAUUCCGUAACACUCGAAUUGUUGUCGAUCUAUGUUAUGCCUUUUGGCUCCUGAGUUCGAGUCUCAGUGCCUCCU